Molecule: long non-coding RNA, 439 nt
Organism: Hyaena hyaena (striped hyena)
Lineage: Eukaryota; Metazoa; Chordata; Mammalia; Carnivora; Hyaenidae
Exons: 2
Source: RefSeq, a predicted model, not a curated record
GGGGCGGGGCCCUGGCUGCCCAGUGGGCCGCUGGCAGACGCGGGAGCCUUGAGGGACGCGGUGCCGGUGGCGACGCAGCGCGGUGUUGCGUCGUUCUUAUCGCAGCGCUACACCGUAGGCUUACAGCUCUCGAGAGAAGAGUGGUCAACAGGAAAGAGUCCUCAAUCACAGGCCCCAACAAGGAAAACUGCGCAGCAUUGCCCGGAAAAAAUAAGCCACUGGUGCAGUUCGGCCAGCGAGAAAUCACCACCACCCGGAACUCCUGCUUUUCUCCAAAGGACUUUGGUUCAAAACAACCCCUCCCAAUUCCCUCCUUCUCCACAAAAUGACGUUCGUCUCCUUUGUUUGAAGGACUUACUGUGGGUGUGCCAUAGUUUGCAUGUCCUAAAUUCCAAUUCUCUGUCAUUCCCAAAUAAACCCAUUUUUGCUGGUAAAAUAA